AUUAACAGUAUGCCCAAGGACUCACUGCAGGACCGCUCAGGUGAAGCUUCUGAAGACUUCACCGGGAUUUCUGCAGUGAGUUCUAGCCUACAACACCUAGC
Molecule: microRNA precursor, 101 nt
Filed under: Haemonchus contortus (barber pole worm)
Lineage: Eukaryota; Metazoa; Nematoda; Chromadorea; Rhabditida; Trichostrongylidae
Description: microRNA hco-mir-40e precursor
Gene: hco-mir-40e
Source: miRBase by way of RNAcentral